UUGAUGUUACAGUCAAGGGACUUCACCAU
This 29-nucleotide small RNA is filed under the name Bombyx mori (domestic silkworm). RNAcentral describes it as "ovarian small RNA-37765". The record is from RNAcentral. Lineage: Eukaryota; Metazoa; Arthropoda; Insecta; Lepidoptera; Bombycidae.